Molecule: small RNA, 2535 nt
Filed under: Pongo abelii (Sumatran orangutan)
Lineage: Eukaryota; Metazoa; Chordata; Mammalia; Primates; Hominidae
Description: retained intron
Source: RNAcentral
UAGUAAGUGCUCAAUAAAGGUUAGCUUUUCCUUAAAAUUUUCUUUAUUGUUUUUUUCCUACCCAUUAGAAUGUAAGUUCCAUGAAGGUAAGAACCUUGUGUUCUUGUCCACCAAGGCCUAGAAAGGUGGGACACAGAGUAGGCACUUAAAUAUUGAUUGGCUGAAAACAGAAUGUUAUCCCACCCUUCAGGGUCAAAUGCCAUGUCCUUUCUUCCCAGUCCGGUUCUCCACCGAGGGACAUGAGGCUGCUUUCACUAUCCGCAUAAGACACCCGCCCAACCCUCGGCUGUACCCACCUGGGUCUCUACCCCAGGGAGGUGAGGCUGGUAGGGGCAGGAACAUAUUAGAUCCAGCCUUGGUGGGGAGCAAGUUGGGAGAGGGCAGUCCUGGGAGGGGAUCUCUACCUGUUCCCCUCUCCCAACUCUCCUUGUCUGCACCCAACCCUGUGCCCCCAAUCUCAGCCCAGUACAACAUCAGUGCUCUAGUCACGAUUGCCACCAAGACCUUCCUCCGUUAUGAUCGGCUACGGGCUCUCAUCACCAGUAUCCGCCGCUUCUACCCAACGGUUACCGUGGUCAUCGCUGACGACAGCGACAAGCCAGAGCGCGUUAGUGGCCCCUACGUGGAACACUAUCUCAUGCCCUUCGGCAAGGUGUGCAGCUAGCAGGCUGAACGGCAGGCCAGAGGACUCCCGCAGGGGGUGUGCCCUCAAUCUGCAGCCUCCAGGGUAGUGAUUCGAGGACCACCUGCCUCAGAAUCAUGGGGUGCCUGUUAAGCAUGAGGAUUCCUGGAAUGUAAGCUUCGUGGGAGCAGGAAAUUCUCUCUGAAUUCUUAGAAUGGUGCUUAGUGCCUAAUGGCAUUCAAUAAAAUAGCUGAUGAAUGAAUAAAUAAAUGCACACAGAAAUUAAACGCAUUCCAAGACCACUGACUUGGAACCUCUGUGGGGAUCUGCAUUUUUUUUACCUAGCUCCUGGCCUUUUGAAAGCACUCAAAAGUCUGGAGAAGGAUACAAGCUGAGAAGGGUCGGGGGAGAGAAAGAAAGGUGACAGAGGGCCAUGUCCUAUUUCUGCAGCCUCCCCAACCACACACACCUUUCUGCCAGGGCUGGUUCGCAGGCCGGAACCUGGCCGUGUCCCAAGUAACCACCAAGUACGUGCUAUGGGUGGACGACGACUUCGUCUUCACGGCGCGGACGCGGCUGGAGAGGCUUGUGGACGUGCUGGAGCGGACGCCGCUGGACCUGGUAAGGCAGGGGCCGCAGGAUGUGGGGGUGGAGAAGGGCCUUGAACAGGCUAAGGCCACAGCGGGGGCGCUGCGGCCAGGAACGACCAGCCCUGGGACAAAGAGAGGACCACGAAGUGGGGCCUGGGAAAUGUCUGGGUCCUGCAGGGGUGAAGCGGAAGAGAAUGGGGCAGGGGUACCCCCGAAGGCACCGGAGCGCAGACCUUGACCCCUUCGGGUCCCUUAUCCCAGGCCGGCCUGGAACCAACCUUCCUCUCCCCGCAGGUGGGGGGCGCGGUGCGCGAGAUCUCCGGCUUUGCCACCACUUACCGGCAGCUGCUGAGCGUGGAGCCCGGCGCCCCAGGCCUCGGGAACUGCCUCCGGCAAAGGCGCGGCUUCCACCACGAGCUCAUCGGCUUCCCAGGCUGCGUGGUCACCGACGGCGUGGUUAACUUCUUCCUGGCGCGGACUGACAAGGUGCGCGAGGUCGGUUUCGACCCCCGCCUCAGCCGCGUGGCUCAUCUGGAAUUCUUCUUGGAUGGGCUUGGUUCCCUUCGGGUUGGCUCCUGCUCCGACGUCGUGGUGGAUCAUGCAUCCAAAUUGAAGCUGCCUUGGACAUCAAGGGAUGCCGGGGCAGCGACUUAUGCCCGGUACCGUUACCCAGGAUCACUGGACGAGAGCCAGAUGGCCAAACACCGGCUGCUCUUCUUCAAACACCGGCUGCAGUGCAUGACUUCCCAGUGAUGGCCCGCUGGGGAUUUCUGACUGUCAGGCUGGGCCUGCCUCCUUGUCCCUGCCAGGAAUUUCCAACAAACUCCAACACCCUGUGAGCACUCUACUGGCUGUCCCUGAGCCUCUAGUUCCUCACUCUUCCUUUUCAGAACCUGAUGCCCAAUAGGGGUUGUCCUGGUGACACCCCUCCUUUUUCCAGUGCCCAGAGGCCUGGUGGAGCCAUAACCUCUCCCACAGCCAGUGCCGAGUCCUCCCCCUGCCCAUUCUCAUGGGGCAGGAAAUGGGGGGAUCACUUUCCAAGUGCCAAAGAGCCCAGAGGGACUCUAAGAACCUAAGGUGGAAACACUGUCCUCUCAUCUUGGGACUGAGGGGGUGGGGAAGUUCCCCAACACAUAAUCCCAAGACUGUGCCCCUCAUCUGCAUCUUCAGAUCCAGUACUCUGUACCUGCUCCAGCCCCACCCCCACAGAGAGAACUUGUGGCUCUGGGGCUGGGGUGAGGGCUGGUGGUCGGUGAAAGCCAUUCUUAGUUGUGUCUCUGCAAUGCUGUGGGCACAAAAGAAGGGGCGCCAGAGUCCCUGUGC